This is a long non-coding RNA of Priapulus caudatus, 223 nucleotides long. RefSeq lists it as uncharacterized. NCBI's taxonomy places the organism in Eukaryota, Metazoa, Priapulida, Priapulimorpha, Priapulimorphida, Priapulidae. The transcript has 3 exons. The record is from RefSeq and is a predicted model, not a curated record.
UGUGCGUGCAGAAAUUUGAGCUCUACAUCUUCCCCUUCAGAAUUAUCUUCGCCAACGUGUCCCCGACUGCACACGAAUUUACUCUGAACCAGUACCUGAGUCGACAGCGGCAAAUGCUGCACGGUUACGAGUCCAGGAGACUGAAGUUCAUCCCGAAGCUAGUCUUCAUCAUCUGUGAGCGGCUGCUUGAACUCGCCUCUGCCGAGCUCACGGUGAGUGGUGG